Non-coding RNA from Chiloscyllium plagiosum (whitespotted bambooshark), 955 nucleotides. The record is from RefSeq and is a predicted model, not a curated record. NCBI's taxonomy places the organism in Eukaryota, Metazoa, Chordata, Chondrichthyes, Orectolobiformes, Hemiscylliidae.
UAAGUGGUUGACACUAAGAAUAGCUCAGCACUGAGCUUCAAGAUCAGCACAGUUGAAAACUGGAAUGUAAAGACAGGGGAAAUCAUUUUCGUUUUGAGGUGUAAAGCAUUUGAUUCCUGUUUUAUAAUCUUCCAGAAAUUCAGGCACUAAUAUCAGGCAAUUUAGCAUCCAGCAUUAUUUGUAUAGCAAUCACAAUUCCAAAUGCAGGCUCCACUAGCUUUACAGUGAUAGGAAAUAGGCAGCCAGAAGUCAACUUUAAAGCUAUAAGGAAAAUUAAAGUUAAGUAUUAGAAGGAGGAGGCCAAAAAAAUGUAAAAACAUUGUGGAGGUUAUUAGAAACAUCUCACUCCAUCUGUGAUGUUUACUUCAGCUGUGAAGGUAUUGGAAUCAUAACUGUUAAACCAAGAUGAAGAGAAGCAGCGUUAUGAGGUACAAGAGUGAACUCUGUAGAUAACUGAGAGAUCGAGCCACAACAAAAACGGAAAUUGCUGGAAAAGCUCAGCAGGUCUGGCAACAUCUGUGGAGAGAAAACAAGAGUUUACGUUUUGGGUCGAGUGGGCGCAGAGUGAUUAAUCCAGUUAGUGGAAGCUGAAAUCAACCAAAUGCUGAAACAGAUGUCCUGAGCAAGAUAACCACUCAUGGGAUCUCCUAGUACUUGCUAUUCCUAUCAAGCUGCAGUAGCAGACAAGGGUUAUAUGAGGAGUUUUGCUGCCACCAAUCAAAGAGAAAAAUCUGUAAAAGAGAAACGAACAAAUUGGACGUACUGAAAUUUCAGCUUGAAGUAUACAUACGAUGACUCAUCUUUGGAGCAGGUGGGCCUUGAACCCAGCCCUUCAGGCCCAGAGAUACGGACACUGAACUGCAAAAGCCACCGGCUGUCACUUUUAUGGUCACCUGUGAAUCCUUCUGCUUCACGGAGCUGACUAUCUUCAAUCUGACCAAUGAUAUGGACUAGA